RNAcentral lists this long non-coding RNA (3909 nucleotides) under Pan troglodytes (chimpanzee). RNAcentral describes it as "lncRNA (ENSPTRG00000054095.1)". The record is from RNAcentral. Lineage: Eukaryota; Metazoa; Chordata; Mammalia; Primates; Hominidae.
GGAAUAUGGCUUGUUUAGUGAAAAGCCACUGUGACAUCACAACACAGACUCCAGCAUAUGUCCUCCUUACAGUAGGUCAGAGCUAGUCUAGGUGCACCAGUCACAGGACACUGAGACUCAGGGUGGCAGAUGUCAAGUCCUUCAUUGUUCAGUUUAAGCUCAGAGAAUUUAAAAAGAACCCACAAUGAUUUCAACACUACAAAAAUGCAUAGACAGAAUGAAAAAAAUCAUCCCCCAAAUCAUCCAAAAACAUCAGGAAAAAAUAUGAAACAAAGAUACAAACUCCAUUGUUUGGUCAGAUCUGGAAAGAGCUCCAAAAUAUUGAUAAGACUUUCAAGAACAACUGCAUUCAUGCAGAGACCAUCUGGAAAGAACUAGAGAAAAGCAGAAGAGAAAGAGCUCCGUUUUGACAGAGCUCAGAAACUAUCAAAAAAUAUAUUUCUUGAUGGUGAAAGGCAAAAACUAAUAUUCAUUUUUUCAAUACUCACUGUGGAAAUAGAUGAACUAGGUGACAGCAGAACUAUCUGGAUCCAGGAUGGUUCAGGAAACAAUGAGAGUGGGUCUCCAUGAAGAAUCAUACGAAACAUCUAUAUUUCUGGAUUUUUUUAAGUUUUUUUUUUUUUUUUUUAACAACUGAACACAAUUAAAAUGGGCUUUUUGAUAGAAAAAAAUAUUUGCUAAAAGUGUCUACAGGAAAAAUAUGUAAUAAGAGAAGAGUGAUUUCCAUAUAAAAAGUAGUAAAAAAUGGGAUGGAAAUGUUCACAAAAAAGCAGCAGGAUAGUUUCACAGAGUAGUGCUACCAAACUAUUAAAGAAUAGAAAAAUUGGCCAGGCGCAGUGGCUCAUGCCUGUAAUCCCAGCGCUUUGGGAGGCUGAGGUGGGUGGAUCACUUGAGGCCAGGAGUUUGAGAUCAGCCUGGGUAACAUGGCAAAACCCAAUCUCUACUAAAAAUACAAACAUUAGCCAGCGUGGUGGCAUGUGCCUGUAAGCCCAGCUACUCAGGAGGCUGAGGGAGGAGAAUGACUUGAACUGGGGAGGCGGAGGUUGCACUGAGCCAAGAUCAUGUCACUGCACUUCAGUGACAGAGCAAGACUGUCUCAAAAAAAAAAAAGAAAAGAGAGAAAGAAAAAUUACAAUGCUGUUGAAUGUGGUUCAGAACACAAGGAAAAGAUUAACAGAAAAUUUUACUUGUUUUAAAAGACAGAAUACAAAACUAUUCCUGAAAUCUGACAUAGAUUGUUGAAGAGAGAGAAAAAUGAUACCAUAGCUCACCAAAUGCAAUAAUACCUCCUUGUAAAUAAUCAAAAUUUAUAAAUAGUCACUAUUAAAAGAUUUCCUAAUAUUAACCACAUUGGUCAUGACUUAAAGAGAAAAAUCAUUACUUUCUUCAUGCAUGCUGAAAAGGCAUUUGAUACAAUCCAACUUUCAUUCAGAAUAAAUACAAUCAAUAAACAUAUAUGAAUUCUUCUUUAAGUUGAUAAAACAUUAUAAACCAGCAUGGUCCCUACUGGAAAAACACUGAAAGGUUUCCCACAUGAAGUCAGGAACAGGCAGCAUUAGGUACCAUCACUGCAAAGCUGUACUUCAUGUUGCAUUAGAAGUGCUAGCUAAUGUAAUCAGGUCAAGAACAAGGUUAGAGAUAUAAAAAAUGUGUUAGGAGCAUAUAAAAUAUCUUUAUUUUCAGAUGAAAUAAUUAUAUCCCUGGAAAAUACAAGAGAGUCAACUCUAAGAAUAAUUCAACAAUUUGUUGGGAUUAAAAAGUAUAUAUAUAAAUCAAUAAUUGUCAUAUUCACACAAGCCAGUUAGAAAAUAUAUUGCAAAGAAGACUCUCCUUAAUUGCAACACAGAAGAUAAAAUACAAAGGAAUUAACAAGAAAUACACAAGAUCUUUUCGAAGAAAGCAUGAACAAAUUGAAUACAUACUAUACCCUUGAGUAGAAAGAAUGUUGUUAUGAUCUCAAACUUCUCUCAGUGACUACUAAAUUAGGCAUGAUUUCAGUUAAAAUACCAAUAGGUGAGUUUCUCUCUUUCUGAAUUGGACAAGGUAUUGUAAAGUUUAUAUUACAAAAUAAAAAGUGUUAUUAUACAUCAGAGUGUACAAUAAAGUUUCAUAAGAGUGUGAUACUGGCACAUGAGCUGAAAUAUCAAUGGACUAGAGUUUAAAGUCGAAGAACAGAAGCAUUUAAACACAAAAUUAGCAUUUGAGAAAAGUGGCUUUUCAAACCACGGGGUGAUGCCUGACUAUUUAUUUAUUUAGAGAUGGAGUUUCACUCUUCUUGCCCAGGCUGGAGUGCAAUGGCAUGAUCUUGGCUCACCGCAACCUCUGCCUCCCGGGUUCAAGCGAUUCUCCUGCCUCAGCCUCCCUAGUAGCUGGGAUUACAGGCACGUGCCACCACGUCUGGCUAAUUUUGUAUUUUUAGUAGAGACGAGGUUUCACCAUGUUGGUCAGGCUGAUCUCGAAUUCCUGACCUCAGGUGAUCUGCCCGCCUGGGCCUCCCAAAGUGCUGGGAUUACAGGCAUAAGCCACCAUACCCGGCCCAGUCUGACCAUUUAAUAAGUGAUCUUAGGACAACUGAGUUGACAUCUAGAAAAAAAAUAAAUGUGGGUCCAUACUUCAUACACUAUGAAAAAUUCCAAUGGAUAAAAGUUUUAAGUGGUAAAACGAAUGAAAAUGGAAACUGUCAAAUUUCUAUAAAAAACGUGGGAUAAUGUGUUUAAACCUCAGGAUGAGGAUGGCCUUCCUAAUGUGAACUCAAAAUUCAGAAGUCAUAAAAAAGCGACAAAAUAAGUGAAAUGAAAAAUAAAGAGAUAAAAAUAAACUUCUGUUUGCCCCACUAUUCCCAGAAGAAAAUAAGCAAAGUAAUGAAAAACAUAUUUAGAAUAUUUUCAACACAUAUCAUAGACACAGAGCCAAUAUUACCAGUAUAUAAAGAGGGCUUAGAAAUUAAUAAUGGAAAGAGUUACAUACCAAUUUUUUAAAAUGGCCAAAAUGUAUAAAUAUACAAAUGACAGAAAAGGAAAUAAAAAUUGCUCUUAAACCUUUGAAAAGAUGUUAAACCUCGCUUGCAAUAAGAACAGUGUGAAUAAAACCAUGCUGAGAUCUAAUUCUUCACUUAUCAUAUUGACGAAAUCCAAAAGGUACAUAUAUUUUGUUGUGAGUUACUGAGAAAGAAGCACUCACUUGUACAACCCUGUGAAGGGCUUGUAGUAUAUGUCAAAAUUUGAAAUGUGUAUGUGUACCCUUUGACCCAGCAAGUCUACCUCUAAAAAUUUAUCCUAUGAUUACACUCAAAUACACAUGAUAUGGCCUAUGUAAAAUAAUUGCAUCAUUGUAAUAGUAAAGGAUUAGGUUUAGCCUGGAUAUCUAUCACAGGGCAUUGACUAAAUGAAUUAUGGUAUAUUUCUACCGUAAAAGAAUAUCCAAUUGUUAAAAAACAAAAAACCACACACACACACACACACACACACAUAGAAGCAAGCUCAGUAUACAUUGAUGUGAAAAGAUAUUAAAAUUUAUUUAAGUGGAAAAAAAAGCAACGUGCAGGACAGCAGGUAUAGUUGCUACUAUUUGUGUAAAAAUGGAAAGAAUGCAUAUUUGUGCUGGUCAGUUUAUGAAUAAAAAUCUCUGGAAUGACAAGACAUAAACAACGGUGAUUACCUGGAUUGAGAGGGAGAUUCUUCAUUGCAUACCUUUUGUACACUUUGAUGUUUAAGCCUUGUUCAAUGGAUGACCUCUUUAAAAAAAAAUCAAAGGGGAGAAACCUAUACACAUAGAAAAAGAAAAGCAAGGCAUAAAAAAUACUGCAGAGAAAUGAAAAGGAAAUUAAGUCACUUUAAACUUAGUAACUCUCUCAAAAAUAAGUUUUAUAUGAUACAAAGUGUAGUAAUGUGCAUAUGAUACAGAAAAAAA